RNAcentral lists this unclassified non-coding RNA (433 nucleotides) under soil metagenome. RNAcentral describes it as "partial contains 5.8S ribosomal RNA, internal transcribed spacer 2, and large subunit ribosomal RNA". The stretch from base 1 to 120 matches the Rfam family "5.8S ribosomal RNA", at positions 35 to 154 of the family's 154-position model. The record is from RNAcentral.
GUUGAAGAACGCAGCGAAAUGCGAUACGUAAUGUGAAUUGCAGAAUUCAGUGAAUCAUCGAAUCUUUGAACGCAUAUUGCGCUCUCUGGUAUUCCGGAGAGCAUGCUUGUUUGAGUAUCAGUAAACACCUCAACUUCCAUAUCUUUUUUGAAAUGGGAGUUGGACUUGAGUGAUCCCAACGCUUUUCCUCACCGAAAAGUGGCGGGUUACUUGAAAUGCAGGUGCAGCUGGACUUUUCUCUGAGCUAUAAGCAUAUCUAUUUAGUCUGCCUAAAAAACAGAUUAUUACCUUUGCUGCAGCUAACAUAAAGGAGAUUAGUUCUUGUGCUGACUGAUGCAGGAUUCACAAAGACAGGCUUCGGCCGACUUUGUAAACUCGAUCUCAAAUCAAGUAAGACUACCCGCUGAACUUAAGCAUAUCAAUAAGCGGAGGA